This 459-nucleotide ribosomal RNA is filed under the name uncultured bacterium. RNAcentral describes it as "partial 16S ribosomal RNA". It matches the Rfam family "Bacterial small subunit ribosomal RNA", at positions 338 to 795 of the family's 1533-position model. The record is from RNAcentral.
CCUACGGGGGGCAGCAGUGAGGAAUAUUGGUCAAUGGCCGAGAGGCUGAACCAGCCAAGUCGCGUGAGGGAAGACGGCCCUACGGGUUGUAAACCUCUUUUGUCGGGGAGCAAAGCGAACCACGUGUGGCUCAUUGAGAGUACCCGAAGAAAAAGCAUCGGCUAACUCCGUGCCAGCAGCCGCGGUAAUACGGAGGAUGCGAGCGUUAUCCGGAUUUAUUGGGUUUAAAGGGUGCGCAGGCGGAGGUGCAAGUCAGCGGUAAAAUUGAGGGGCUCAACCCCGUACUGCCGUUGAAAGUGCAUCCCUUGAGUGCGCGAGAAGUAUGCGGAAUGAGUGGUGUAGCGGUGAAAUGCAUAGAUAUCACGCAGAACUCCGAUUGCGAAGGCAGCAUACCGGCGCGCAACUGACGCUCAUGCACGAAAGCGUGGGUAUCGAACAGGAUUAGAUACCCCUGUAGUC